RNAcentral lists this ribosomal RNA (255 nucleotides) under uncultured bacterium. Its description in RNAcentral is "partial 16S ribosomal RNA". It matches the Rfam family "Bacterial small subunit ribosomal RNA", at positions 99 to 354 of the family's 1533-position model. The record is from RNAcentral.
CGGACGGGUGAGUAACACGUGAGCAACCUGCCUUUCAGUGGGGGACAACAGUUGGAAACGACUGCUAAUACCGCAUAACGUGCCGGAAGGGCAUCCUUUUGGUACCAAAGAUUUAUCGCUGAAAGAUGGGCUCGCGUCCGAUUAGAUAGUUGGUGAGGUAACGGCCCACCAAGUCGACGAUCAGUAGCCGGACUGAGAGGUUGAUCGGCCACAUUGGGACUGAGACACGGCCCAGACUCCUACGGAAGGCAGCAG